Long non-coding RNA from Engraulis encrasicolus (European anchovy), 652 nucleotides. RefSeq lists it as uncharacterized. The transcript has 3 exons. The record is from RefSeq and is a predicted model, not a curated record. Lineage: Eukaryota; Metazoa; Chordata; Actinopteri; Clupeiformes; Engraulidae.
CUGAACUAGCAAGGAUUGUUCAAGGAAGUUCAAAACAGACUGUCUCUGGUUAAAUUAGUUCUACACCAAGCCUUUAGGUGGCAGUACAACUAAUUCGCACAAUGCGAAUUCCACACACAAGCCACAAAGAAGCCAUCUACCGCGGUCAACAACACCGACCUAUCUGAACAGCACCACGCGCUGUCUGUGUGGUUUCACUGUUACAAGUUUCUUGGCGAUAUGGGGGAAAGUUCCUCACAUACCAACGGAAAAUGGGCUUCACAUACAUGCUGCUGUCUCAUAAUAUGGCGAAGACGAGUCACUUGAAGGCCUAACAGCUCUUAUGAGGAGCAGUCUUGCCAUAGAAGACUGAAAGAAUGAGCUGUAGAAACAACAGGGUGCCUGCUGCAGUAUGACGAGGACGCCCUGAUCAUAGAAGGUCCAGUGUCUUGGCAGGGUGAAAUGGCACUGAUAUCGGUAUGUGGUGAUAUCAGUUAAAAUUAAUGAAUUAAUUCUCAUAUCUGAAUAAUGUGAACACUGGAUUUACCACACACUCACACACACCCUAGUCCUAGAUGAUACAACCAAGGUUACUUUUACCACAGCUCUGGCACUGCAUCAAAUUUCUUUUCUUUUUUAUAGAACUGGACAGGUCAUUUAUUCGUUCCCCUUG